AUUGAACGCUAGCGGGAUGCCUUACACAUGCAAGUCGAACGGCAGCACGGACUUCGGUCUGGUGGCGAGUGGCGAACGGGUGAGUAAUGUAUCGGAACGUCCCAGUAGCGGGGAUAAUACGCGAAAGGGUAGUAAUCCGCAUACGCCCUACGGGGGAAAGCAGGGGAUCGCAAGCCUUGCACUAUUGGAGCGGCCGAUAUCGAUUAGCUAGUUGGUGGGGUAACGGCUCACCAAGGCGACGAUCCGUAGUGGUUUGAGAGGACGACCAGCCACACUGGGACUGAGACACGGCCCAGACUCCUACGGGAGGCAGCAGUGGGGAAUUUUGGACAAUGGGGGAAACCCUGAUCCAGCCAUCCCGCGUGUGCGAUGAAGGCCUUCGGGUUGUAAAGCACUUUUGGCAGGAAA
RNAcentral lists this ribosomal RNA (408 nucleotides) under Achromobacter xylosoxidans. Its description in RNAcentral is "bacterial SSU rRNA". It matches the Rfam family "Bacterial small subunit ribosomal RNA", at positions 30 to 446 of the family's 1533-position model. Lineage: Bacteria; Pseudomonadati; Pseudomonadota; Betaproteobacteria; Burkholderiales; Alcaligenaceae. The record is from RNAcentral.